Long non-coding RNA from Ostrea edulis (European flat oyster), 436 nucleotides. RefSeq lists it as uncharacterized. The transcript is spliced from 3 exons. The record is from RefSeq and is a predicted model, not a curated record. NCBI's taxonomy places the organism in Eukaryota, Metazoa, Mollusca, Bivalvia, Ostreida, Ostreidae.
UUCUAAUUCUACGUGGCUAUUCUUUUUUGCAGCCAUUGCUUUAUAUCCUGGAGAACUAGUAUUCUGUCCUCUUCCGGUUCAUACAGAGGGGCGUGGAGAUAUCCCGAAUAAAUCUGGAAGGUUGAGACGGAACAAAAGUGCGAUGGUGACGAAGCGAAAGUGAAGAUGCGAGGGCAAAGGAGCAAGAACGCGAAGUAAACGAAAUUACAAUACUUUGCACUUCGUCAUAUAUGACAUGAGAUGAUUUGACGUCACUGAUGGGAUCGGCAUCACCAUGGAGAAUAAACAGAGGACAACCAAUCGACUUCAUACGAUCUUCUAGUCUCAUUACAGCAUUCAUCCAAGCAACACACCAUCUGAUAGUAAAGUGAACAUGUUUUCUGUGAACAAAUUGAUAGGAUUCUAUAUUUGGAAAAUGAAAAUAAUCUGCUUGGCA